This 463-nucleotide ribosomal RNA is filed under the name uncultured bacterium. Its description in RNAcentral is "bacterial SSU rRNA". It matches the Rfam family "Bacterial small subunit ribosomal RNA", at positions 29 to 507 of the family's 1533-position model. The record is from RNAcentral.
ACGAACGCUGGCGGCGUGCCUAACACAUGCAAGUCGAACGGAGUUAAUUGCUUCGGUAGUUAACUUAGUGGCGAACGGGUGAGUAACGCGUGAGAAACCUACCUUUCAGUGGGGGACAACAGUUGGAAACGACUGCUAAUACCGCAUGAUGUAGCGAGGGGGCAUCCCUUUGCUACCAAAGCUUAAUGUGCUGAAAGAUGGUCUCGCGUCUGAUUAGCUAGUUGGCGGGGUAACGGCCCACCAAGGCGACGAUCAGUAGCCGGUCUGAGAGGAUGAACGGCCACAUUGGGACUGAGAUACGGCCCAGACUCCUACGGGAGGCAGCAGUGGGGAAUAUUGCGCAAUGGAGGAAACUCUGACGCAGUGACGCCGCGUGCAGGAAGAAGGUUUUCGGAUUGUAAACUGCUUUAGACAGGGAAGAAAUAAGACAGUACCUGUAGAAUAAGCUCCGGCUAACUACGUG